AGUGAACGCUGGCGGUAGGCCUAACACAUGCAAGUCGAACGGCAGCACAGUAAGAGCUUGCUCUUACGGGUGGCGAGUGGCGGACGGGUGAGGAAUAUAUCGGAAUCUACUUUUUCGUGGGGGAUAACGUAGGGAAACUUACGCUAAUACCGCAUACGACCUACGGGUGAAAGCAGGGGAUCUUCGGACCUUGCGCGAUUGAAUGAGCCGAUGUCGGAUUAGCUAGUUGGCGGGGUAAAGGCCCACCAAGGCGACGAUCCGUAGCCGGUCGGAGAGGAUGGUCGGCCACACUGGAACUGAGACACGGUCCAGACUCCUACGGGAGGCAGCAGUGGGGAAUAUUGGACAAUGGGCGCAAGCCUGAUCCAGCCAUACCGCGUGGGUGAAGAAGGCCUUCGGGUUGUAAAGCCCUUUUGUUCGGAAGGAAAAGCAGCAGGUUAAUACCCCGCUGUUCUGACGGUACCCAAAGAAUAAGCACCGGCUAACUUCGUG
Molecule: ribosomal RNA, 492 nt
Filed under: uncultured bacterium
Lineage: Bacteria
Description: partial 16S ribosomal RNA
Rfam family: Bacterial small subunit ribosomal RNA
Source: RNAcentral